UAGAAACAUGUGGCUGUGAGUUCAAAGCU
This 29-nucleotide non-coding RNA is filed under the name Mus musculus (house mouse). The record is from RNAcentral. Lineage: Eukaryota; Metazoa; Chordata; Mammalia; Rodentia; Muridae.